Panthera uncia (snow leopard) is the source of this 9020-nucleotide long non-coding RNA. RefSeq lists it as uncharacterized. Lineage: Eukaryota; Metazoa; Chordata; Mammalia; Carnivora; Felidae. The transcript has 2 exons. The record is from RefSeq and is a predicted model, not a curated record.
GGCUGCUCUCAGUUCCCGUCUCAGUCCCAAGCCUCUCUCUUCCUCAGGUUGGAGGCACAUUAAGACCUUCUGUCCCCAGACUGGGAUGGAAUGUGGUGAGAAGGCUUCCAGGCAGCAGUAUGGGCUGGAAGGAAGGAGGAUUUUUCUGUUACCCCAGUCAGUUGAAGCUCCCUCUAUCUUGAAUUUCACCCUUUAUCUAAUCUGACAAGGACAAAUUCAUUUUUGCCAAAGCCUUGAUUGUGGCAGUGGCUGCUAAUUCAUAGAAAUAAAAAAAACAAACAAAAAAGGCAGUGUGUGGGGGAGGUUGGGCGGGGGCUUGGUUGGGGGAAAAGGAUCAGCAGAGAUUUUUGUGCAGGAAAAAAAUUUUCUCUACAGUCUGAGAAUGAAAAAAGAUGGAGUUGCAAACAAAUAGGCAGGUAGUCAUACUUACCAGAGGGACUUGAAACAACUUAAAUGCACAAAAUAGCUCCUCUGAUGAUAUAUGCGAUUGAAUUGUACUGCUUAUAGGUUUUAAAAAAUCCAUUAGUUAGUCCCAAAAAUGUUAAUGAUAAAUAUUCUUUUAGUAUCUUAUUGAUCUGAGUCUUAAAACACACUUGAUAAAGAGUGGGAAUUUUCAAAAUCUUUAAAAUUUAAAACUUUAAGUUGUUAAGUUUAGAAAAAUACUUCAGGGGCGCCUGGGUGGCUCAGUCAGUUGAGUGUCCAGCUCUUGAUUUCAGCUCAGGUCAUGAUCUCACGGUUCGUGGGAUCGAGCCCCACACUGGGCUCUGUGCUGACAGCACAGAGGCCGCUUGCGAUUCUCUCUCUUCCUCUCUCUGUGCCUCCCCCUAUCUGCACACAUGCUCGCUCACUCUCUCUCAAAAUAAACAUUAAAAAGUACUUUAAUAUGUAAUUUUGAAAAGUCAGCUUCCUUUUUUGUCAAAGGAGUAUAUAAUUUAUCCCUAGUUAUGAUACCAUUUUUCUAUAAUAUUAGGAAGACUCUAGAGCUACCUGGUCAUUGUUCCUAGUAGGAAAAGUGAAGCCUACCUAGCAUUAUAUGACCUUUCUAGGAUUGCUUGGGUAGCUUGAGCCUCAGGUUCUUAACUGCUAUAUUUUUAUUGUUGGAUCUUCAUUUGGUCUGAGAAAUUAAGUCUUUUAUCACCUUAUUCUUUUUUUUAUUAAAGUAAUUGUUGUUCCUGAACUUUGUGGACUCUUAUGUGGUUUAAAAAAAAAAAAAAAACACUUAUAAAAGCCACAGCUGAGUAUAAGGUACUUUUAUGGCAUGCACUGUGGGGUAUUGACCGUGAGUAUACCCCUGUGGUGGGUGGUGUUUUCCACAGGCUCACUGCCUCUCCCUACUAGAACAUUACCUCUGUUCCUGUCCUAAGUGUCUGCUUCUCAACCUGUUUCCCUGUGUCCCACUUGCUCCUAAACUUCCUGUCUUUGGUUCUAGUCCCGUCACCACCGACUUUGUAGUCUUAAGUGAGACCCUUGGUAUCCUGCUUACCUUUUCUUUCCCGUGAUACCUGGGCAUCUCCCCCUGGCUAGUGAGCCCCCAGAGCCUACACAAUGCAGAUUCAUUGACCCCAUGCUCUCUUCCCCCACCCCCGGCCCCUCCCCGUCUCUGUUGCCAGUGCCUGGUGCUGACAUUUGCAGUAAUUCUUGGAUGGAUGGAUGAGGCCUUAACAGUUGUUCUUUUACUCCAGGCCAUAGACUCUUCAUAUCUCUUAGAUGCCCCUGAAGCGCUAAAAUACUUUCAAGAUAAUGAGAGGUGUGCUCUUCUUCAUACUGCUGGGUCUGCCCAGUGCUUCACUUCCAUCAUGCAUACGAUAAGGCCCCAUAUUCAGAGAAUGGCUUGUGAAGUCUUUCACAGACUGGCCCCUAUACCUUUCCAGCUUCCUUUGGUCUACCAGCACCUCUUUUCUCCUCCUUGCAAAGUGAGUCAAUUGGGAAUUGUUAAGGGAUUAGUACUUUUAAGAUCUUGCUCUUUAUGUAUGUGAAAGUAAGGCCUGAGGGUUGGUCCUGGUAUUAGAAUUCAGGGGCCAGCUGUAUCAGAUAUCCCUGUACUCUGUGCACAGAGACAGCCCCGAUGAAUCCAGGGGCGUUCUCCUCCCACUGAUGAGGAUUAAGUCUAAAGCUUUAAACUGGAUGAUCCAUUAAUUUAAUGCUUUUCCUUGAUACAAGAUUCUACAGUUUUCAAUAAAAAAAUUUUCGGCACCCACGCAGGCUAAAGGAUGCGUGCAAGCCAGAAAUAGUUUAUAAAAUGAGUGUUCCUUUCUGGUAUUCCUUGUAAAAAUAACCUUGUAACCAUCCUAGGAAAAGGGGACCCCCUGCUAAAAUAAGGUAGAACCCCCCGCUGAAAGUCUCUUGUGGUUCAGUCUUUACACACUGUCUUUGUGUUUGCUUCUUACCAUUUCGCCAUCGCCUUGUCUUCUAGUGGGGUGUGGAGAGACCAGCACUGCUUCUACCAGGAAAGAGCUGUGCUUGACCUUUCCACAUGGAGUGUUCUCCUGAGGCACCAUUUCUGCGUUUUUGGAGGAUGCUUUUUUUGAACCAUCCAUUCUCACAUCGCUCACAGCUGGCUUCAGGCUGAAGCAGUUUCCAGCAGCAUCUGUUCACUAUGGCAGCUCUGAAGCUAGGUGGGCAUUUUAAUGGCCAUAAAACAGAAUUACUGUGUGAAAGACCUUUCAGCAAUUGAGCUAAAGGCUUGGAAGCAGUGGAGACAUUUUCACUUAUGAAAAUUGGCACUAAAGGAACAUGUGGUGGAGAUACCUUUCCUCGAAAUGCCACCACUUUCUAUGUUAAAUAAUAGAGACCACCCAUCAGAGGAAACUUUGCCACCUUAGCUAGUUUUAGUUUAUGUUAAACCAUUUUUCAGAUUUUAGAGUUGUUCCGUAGAGAUCUUUUGGUUAUUUAAAUAUGAAUCAGACCCAAAGCCAUCUACAGAUUCAAUGCACUACCUAUCAAAAUUCCAAUGGCAUUUUCACAGAACUAGAAGAAACAAUCCUAAAAUUCAUAGGGAGCCACAAAACCCCCAAUAACCAAGGCAGUCUUGAGGAGGAAGAACAAAGCUGGAGGCAUCAUGCUUCCUGGUUUCAAACUGUAUUCUAAAGCUGUAAUAAUCAAAAUGGAAUGGUAUUGGCAUAAAAACAGAUACCUAGACCAGUGGAACAGAAUAGAGAGCCCAGGAAUAAACCCAAAAAUAUAUUGCCAAGUUAUGACAAAGGAGCCAAGAGUAGUCCAUAGGAAAAGAUGGUCUCUUCAGUAAAUGGUGUUAGAAAAGUUGGACAGCCAUGUGCAAAAGAAUGGAACUGGACUGCCAUCUUAAGCCAUACACAGAAAUCAAAGUGGAUUGAAGAAGGGAAGACCUGAAAACGUAAAACUCCUAGAAGGGAACAAGGGGUAAGUUUCUUGACGUGGGUCUAUUUGACACCAAAAGCCAAGGCAACAAAAGCAAAAUAAGUGGGCUUACAUCAGACGAAAAAGCCUCUGUAUAACAGAGGGAACCACCAACAAAAUGAAAAGGCAACCUACAAAGUGGGAGAGAAUAUUUGCAAAUUAUUUCUGAUAAGGAGUCUUAAUACCCAAAAUACAUAAAGAACUGUUACAACUCAAUAGCAAAAAACCAGCUGAUAUUUUAAAAUGGGUAGAGGAACUGCAUAGACACUCUUCCAAAGAAGACAUCCAAAUGGCCAACAGGUAAAUGACAAGAUGCUGAACGUCAGUCAUCAUCAAGGAAAUGCAGAUCAAAACCACAAUGAGAUACCACCUUACACCUGUUAAAAUGCUUGUUCUCCAAAAGAUACACACUUGCAAAGAUGUGGAGAAAAGGGAAUUCUUAUCCACUGUUGGUUGAAAUGUAAAUUGGUAUAGCCACUAUGGAAAGCGAUAUGGAAAACUAAAAAUAGAGCUACCGUAUGACCUAGCACUUCUGGAUAUAUAUGCAAAGGAAAUGAAAACAGGGUCUCAAAGAGAUAGCUGCACUCCCAGGUUCGUUGCAGUUCUGUUCACAGUAGCCAAGAUAAUGGCAAGAACCUAAGUAUCUGUCAGUGAAUGAGUCAAUAAAGAUAUGGGGUGUGUGUGUGUGUGUGUGUGUGUGUGUACACAUACAUACACGCAAAUGUUAUUCAGGUACAAGAAGGGACAUCCUGCCAUUUAUGAAAAUACAGAUGGGCCUUGAGGACAUUUAUGCUAAGUGAAAUAAGGCUAAAAGACAACCAGUAUAGGUUUAACUUACAUGGACGAUCUUAAAAGGCUGAAUUCAGAAACCGAGACUUAGCACGGUAGUUACCAAGCUGGCGCGUGAGAAAAAUGGGAGAUGCUGGUCAAAGGUACAAACGUCUGGUUCUAAGCUCUGGGGAUCUAGUGUGCAGCAUAGUGAUUAUAGCCAAUAAUACCGUAUUAUAGAAAAACUGUAUCAUAUACUUGAACUUUGCUGAGGGAGUAAAUGUUAUGUAUUCUCACCCCAGAAGAGUAAUGGUAAUUACAUGGCAUGAUGGAGGUGUUAGCUAAAGCUGUGGUAAUGAUCCUCUUGCAGUAUACGUGUGUCAAGUCAACAUGUUGCACACCUUAUUCUUACAUCACGUUACGUCAGUGAUACCUCUGUAAAGCUGGGGAGGAAUAGGAAUCACACGUCAAAAAGCUUAACCUGUGUAGCAAGCAGUUUUGAACACCAUUCUUAGAGGCGGAGGACUGACGCGGGCUGCACUUUGCACGUGUAGUUGUCAAGCAGGAUGUGACUGGAGCCUCCAGCGGGAGAGCACCAUUUCCGUGAGCACAUUCCCAGUUGCCAAAAUCGAUGUUUUGACUCCAGAAGGUCAAUUUAGGAUUACUAGGGUAGGGGUGGGAGGAGAGUCUGAUAGAAUUAGCCAUUUAUUCAUCUUAAUAGGGAAAUAAAAUAGGAUAUCAAAAUGCUUAAAAUAUUAGCUGUGUGUGUUUUUUUUAAUGCAAUUUACCAGAUUUGGUUCUAUAAAUAAAAAUGAUGCCAAGUGAACUGAAAAGCUAGAAAGAAGGAAGAUAUUUCUUAGGAGUAAUUUCCCUCCUCGAAAUAACUAGACCUCUUUCCUUCCAAAGCAUUUUGGGGGGGAGGUACAAAUUGUAGACCCUGAAAUGAACAUGUUUGGCAUUGAUUUCUGAAGAAAGUUCUUUUGGCCCACGUUUAAGAAGGAAUUGGAGCCAUGGAAAACUUUGUAGUCCUUGAUAUUAUACUUCUGGUGAUGAGACCAUGAUUAUGUCACUGUCCCUGGGUUGAUGCGCUUUGCUUUGGAAAAAUGUGUGAUCCUCUACUUCAAACAAACUAUGGAUUCCUUGCAGAGGUGGCUGUAAGGAAACGGUCUCCAUGCCCUUGUGUCUCCACAUCCCUUCCUCUCACCAGACCUGUCUGGUGCACUGCAUGAAGCACGUACACUGCUGCUCAUGGGAAAAGGGACCAAUAGAAGCAUGUUUUUAAAAUCUGUGUUUUCAGAUUUAAAAAGUAUUUUUCAUUAUUAUUAUUUUCUUUGUAAUUAUGUUAGAGGGCAAGCAGGGGAGAAGGGCAGAGGGAGGGAGAGAAUCUUAAGCAGGCUUCAUGCUCAGCACAGGGCCCGAGGCGGGGCUCAAUCCCACGACCCAGGGAUCACGAUCAGAGCCGAAAGCAAGAGUCAAAUGCUCAACCAACUGAGCCACCCAGACGCCCCUCAUUUUUAAUUCUAAGAUGUCAGUUAAUUUUUUGCCAAUCUGAUGGGUGAAGUGUAGAAUUUAUGUUAAUCUCCUGGCAUUUGUUAAAGAUCUAAUGUUUAGAUUUCUUGCUAUUUUUAAGUUGUAUUGUUGGACUUUUUUACAUAUGUGAUGUAUAUAACAAAGAGGUCUUAUCAAUUUUCUUUGUCUUUUAACUCUGUUCACUGUAUUUGAGGCUUUUUUUUUAACCUUGAUGUAAUCAUAUGUGGAAUUUUUUCACUUAUGAUUUAUGUUUCCUGUUAUGCUUAAGAAAUACUCUAUCCUGGGGCACCUGGGUGGCUCAGUCGGUUGGGCGGCCGACUAUAGCUCAUGUCAUGAUCUUGCAGUCUGUGAGUUCCAGCCCCGCAUCGGGCUCUGUGCUGACGGCUCAGAGCCUGGAGCCUGCUUCCGGUUCUGUGUCUCCCUCUCUCUCUGCCCCUCCCCUGCUUGUACUCUGUCUCUCUCUUUCUCUCUCUGAAAAAUAAUAAACAUUAAAAAAACUUUAAUUAAAGAAAAGUAAUACUCUAUCCCAAGGUUUACAUAUCUUAUACUUUUUCAAAUGCUUUUUUGACUUUGAGCGAGAGAGGGAGCGUGUGCGCGUGCACAUCCAAGCAGGGAUGGGAUGGAGGGAGAGAGAGGGAGAGAAUCAUAAGCAGGUUCUACACUCAGCACAGAGCCAAGCACGGGGCUUAGUCUCAUGACCAUGAGAUAAUGAGCUGAGCCAAAAUCAAGAGUCCGAUGCUUAACUGACUGAACCAUCCCAGCACCCCUGACUUUUUAAAAAUUUCUUUUAUUACACUUAUUUAUUUUUGAGAGGGUGAGAUAGAGCAGGAGUGGGGGAGGGGCAGAGAUAGAAAGAGAUACAGAAUCUGAAGCAGGCUCAGGUUCCGAACAAGCAUUCAACACAGAGCCCAUAGACCCAUAGACCCAUAGACCGUGAGAUCAUGACCUGAGCCAAAGUCAGACACUUAACCGACUGAGCUACCCAGGCACUCCCUGACUUUAUUUUUUUUAUACUUAGAUUUUUCUUCCAUUUGAAUUUUAUUUUUAAAUCAAUUAUUAAUUGAGCAUCUCCUUUGUGCUGGGCCCCGGGUUCUGUACUGAUGAGUAAAACUUGAUCCCUCAACUAGUGGAGCUUUAUCCUGGCAGAGGCAGGCGGUAAAUAGGUUACCAAACAAAUACAUAAUUUCCGUCUGUGCCCAGUGCUAUCAAGGAAACAGCGGGUCUAGGGUCGAGGGACACAAGCUUAAGCCAUGCUGAAUUACGAAGGGAUACAUAGAAGUUAGCUUUGCAGAGAGGGGGGCAGAAGAUAUAACCGGCAGGAUAUUCUAAGACCCCGAGGCAGAUUUGAGGAUUGGUAAGUGGAGAGUUGGAGUCCGGGAUGAGACCAGGGUUCAGAAGUAACGGCUUCUUCAUGUCUUGUUAAGGGGCCUUGGUUUUAAUCUAGGUGCAGUAGGAAGCUGUGGGGGGUUUAGGGAGAGAAUGUAUGAAGGACGAGUGUUUUAGUGUUGAUAGGGAAGGUAAGGAUGGACGCAGAGAAACCAGAUAGGCUACUCUAAUAGGCUGGGUAAGAGAUGAACGGCUUAGACUAGUGUGAUGGCUAAUUCUAUGUGUCACCUUGGCUGGGCUCUGAGGCCCAGAUAUGCGGUCAAACACUUAGAAUGAUGUUCCUUGAGGUGUUUUUGGAGGUUAACAUUUUAACACAUGAACUCUGAGUAACAGAUUGCCCUGUAUAAUGCUGAUGGGCCUCAUCUAAUCAAUUGAAGGUCUGAAUAGAACCAAAGACUGGCCUCCUUGAACAAGAGGGAGUUCUGCAGUAGCCAGGUAGACCGCAUUCACACUUGAACUGUAGCACUAGCUUUUCCCUGGUCUCCAGCUCGUAGGCUCAUGGCGCAGAUUUUGGAUUUGCUAGCCUCUAUAACAACAUGAGCCAAUUCCGUAAAACACAAAAACAAAAGCCAAAACUUUCUCCGUGUAUGUGCAUGCGCACGUGUACACCCCCCCCCCCCACACACACACACAACUGGUUCUGUUUCUCUGGACAGCCUUGACUAAUAACACCAGAAGUGGUGACAGUGAAAAUACAGAGAACUGAGCCUAUUUUUGAGGUGGAAAGAGUGGGACUCACUGAGAGGAAUAAAUUGUAAUUGAAUGGAUGGUGAGGUCAUUUGGGGAAUUGAAGGCCACAGAGAGGAGCCAAGGUAGGGGAAAUUCAAGAGUUUGGUAACUGUUUCAUUUGAGGUGCCACUGGGAUAUGAGUGGAAGGGUUAAGUAUACAAAUCGGAGAUACGAUUCUGAAACUCAGCAGUACAGACCGGGGCAGAAGAUGCAGAAGUGAGCACUAGAGAACCCCACCUUUAGAAAUACACUGACAGCGGGGCACCUGGAUGGCUCGGUCAGUUGAGCGUCUGACGUUGGCUCAGGUCAUGAUCUCACAGUUUGUGAGUUUGAGCCCUGUGUCGGGCUCUGUCCCUCAGAGCCCCUCUCCCACUUGCGCUCUGUCUCUCAAUCAAUCAAUAAAAAUAAAAACAUUAAAAACACAUAUAAAUACAUGGACAGGGAGUGACCAGAAACAUAGGAGAACCAAGAGCUUGGAAGAAUGUAGCUGAUGUCAGAUGCUGUUGCGUGGUACCAGAAGACGAAGGCUAAUUAGAGGUGACUGUUAGGCUUGACAGCUUGCUGGUUGGUGGUUAUUUGACUAAUGCAGAGUUGAUGGCGUAGUGGGAACAAAGUCAGGAGUGGAAUGGGCUGAGCAAAGUGGAGCUGAAGACGGGAAGAACGCACCUGUGCCAACCUUUGGAUGUGCAGCAACAGGGAACAGCAAAACCAGGGGAGGAGGAGUUGAGGAUUUGGAGCUCGGGGGUAUUUCACUCUUACUUUUUAACGAUGGAUGACAGGAAGGCAUGUUCAGAUUCUGAUGGAGAUGAUCCAGUAGUGUGGGAAGACUGAGGAUGAGGAGAAAGAAGGUGUAAAAUAGGAGAAACAGGUCCUUGGGCAGGUGUGUCUGUUAGGGGAAUGAGGAGCUCCCACGUAAUGGAUUUUGUUCUCCUAGAAAAGGGAAUUGGGAAGUAAGGAGAGUAUGUGAAGAAGGAGGUAGGAGGUAGUAGAGCGGGGAAGAAAGUUAACUCAGAAUAGCUAGGAUGGUGUUGAAAUCCCUCCUCGAGAGUUGAGACUGAUUUAAAGGGACGCUAGUAUGUUUUUCUGUUGUGAAUGUUUUGAUGCAGCUGUGGAGAAAGAAGAAAGAAGAAAAUUGGGUUAGAGUCUGACAAAUAGGACCAAGGGAAUGGUUUUUAUGGGAGUGAUAAAAGUGAUUGAUGAAAUUUCAGUUUGAUGAAAAGGAUACUGAUGGA